This 380-nucleotide ribosomal RNA is filed under the name uncultured eukaryote. RNAcentral's name for it is "partial 18S ribosomal RNA". It matches the Rfam family "Eukaryotic small subunit ribosomal RNA", at positions 592 to 976 of the family's 1831-position model. The record is from RNAcentral.
CAAUAGCGUAUAUUAAAGUUGUUGCAGUUAGAACGCUCGUAGUCGGAUUUCGGGGCAGUCCGACCGGUCUGCCGAUGGGUAUGCACUGGCCGGAGUGUCCUUUUUGCCGGAGACCGUGCCUACUCUUAACUGAGCGGGGGCGGGAGACGGCACUUUUACUUUGAAAAAAUCAGAGUGUUUCAAGCAGGCAGCUCGCUCUUGCAUGGAUUAGCAUGGGAUAAUGAAAUAGGACUUUGGUGCUAUUUUGUUGGUUUCGAACACCGAAGUAAUGAUGAGAAGGGACAGUCAGGGGCACUCGUAUUCCGCAGAGAGAGGUGAAAUUCUCAGACCCGCGGAAGACGAACCACUGCGAAAGCAUUUACCAGGGAUGUUUUCACUGA